AUGGGUAGACUACGGAAAGUCUAUCCCAAGGAUGUUCCGCUAGUUUUUUCAGUUGAGAGUGCUGAUUCUUUGAAAGAUCCUUUCGUGCCUAAUGAUUUUGCUGAUGAUGGUUCUAAUGCUAUGUCUUUGGAUUGUUCUGGUGAUGAUGAAGAGUUUGAUAAAGCUCUAUACAAUUUUUAUGUGAAUAAUAAAGUCAAUUACCUAAAGAGGAAAUUAUCAUCUGCUAGUAGAAGGAAUGUUGUAAGUCUCUUUUCUCUUCUUGUGUUUUAUUUUCUGUCCCUUCUUCUCUUUUGGUUGCUUGUCUGA
Molecule: ribosomal RNA, 306 nt
Filed under: Triticum aestivum (bread wheat)
Lineage: Eukaryota; Viridiplantae; Streptophyta; Magnoliopsida; Poales; Poaceae
Description: partial small subunit ribosomal RNA
Source: RNAcentral